RNAcentral lists this ribosomal RNA (497 nucleotides) under uncultured bacterium. RNAcentral describes it as "partial 16S ribosomal RNA". It matches the Rfam family "Bacterial small subunit ribosomal RNA", at positions 28 to 507 of the family's 1533-position model. The record is from RNAcentral.
GACGAACGCUGGCGGCGUGCCUAAUACAUGCAAGUUGAGCGAUGAAGAUUGGUGCUUGCACCAAUUUGAAGAGCAGCGAACGGGUGAGUAACGCGUGGGGAAUCUGCCUUUGAGCGGGGGACAACAUUUGGAAACGAAUGCUAAUACCGCAUAAUAACUUUAAACAUAAGUUUUAAGUUUGAAAGAUGCAAUUGCAUCACUCAAAGAUGAUCCCGCGUUGUAUUAGCUAGUUGGUGAGGUAAAGGCUCACCAAGGCGAUGAUACAUAGCCGACCUGAGAGGGUGAUCGGCCACAGUGGGACUGAGACACGGCCCAAACUCCUACGGGAGGCAGCAGUAGGGAAUCUUCGGCAAUGGACGAAAGUCUGACCGAGCAACGCCGCGUGAGUGAAGAAGGUUUUCGGAUCGUAAAGCUCUGUUGGUAGAGAAGAACGUUGGUGAGAGUGGAAAGCUCAUCAAGUGACGGUAACUACCCAGAAAGGGACGGCUAACUACGUG